GUUACCGAAUCUUUGGCGGGCUUUUUUUCGUGCCUGAUUGCUUGGCGCCAAGUCGGGAAAAAGUCCGGCUAGCACUGAAGCAGUUAGCGCCAAAGUACUGAAAAUUCCAUGUAAAACAGCCCCGCUCCGAUUCACCCGUGACUACGUGUUCGUAUUUCGUAAGCAUUUAUACUGCCGUCGCCGUCCUCUUCCUCACAUCUCCCCAUCACCGGCCUCUUCCAAGCCGCUCCCCACCACAAACUUUCUCUCCUCCUCCUCUUGAUCCCCACACACCUCGAGUGCGCCUGAAAUAUAGAGAUCAAAGGUGGCAAAUUUCUGCGCCGGCGACGAGCUUCUGGGCGACGGAGGCGCUGGAUCGGCGAGCACCGGCGCUGGAUCGGCGAGAACCGGCGCUGGAUCUGCGUCCCCCGCCCGGAAAACGGCACAUCGUGCCCCGUCACGCUCAUCCCGGGCGACGACAUCGGACCCCUCAUCCCCGGAGCCGUGCAGCAGGUCAUGGAGCUCGCGCCUCUACUUCAAGACCUGGUCACGGGAGACGUGCAUCAGGUCAUGGAGCUCCACCUCUGGUCUGCCUCAAGGGUGAGGAGGAACAGCGAGAUCCGCAUGGUGCAAGUGCGCCAGAUGCGCCGCGAGGUCGCGCAGCUGCUCGACGGCAACCAGAACAAGACGACGCGAAUCAGGUAACUCACGACGGCUCCUACAGCACCGGAGUAGCGGGAGGACGCCGCUUGCGCAUGGGAGCACCGGGACGCCAUCAACUUCAAGUUCUUAUCAGAGCAGCACGAUGACCACCACCACUACCGCGACCAGGUUUCUGUUAUUUGCUGAUGGAAAAUUGUUCCCUUAUGUCUUGGCCUAGUUCUGGUUAUAGGGAAUGAAAUUGUUAAUGUAAUCAAAACUCUCCAUUCCAUAUAUGCGCCUAGUACUGCUUCAAUUAUUUGAAUGACAGCUCCAAGCGAGCCAUGUGUGUUCUUUAACUUAUAUCCAACCUGCUAGUGGUGUAUCUGUUAAUAUUUCUCACAUAUGAAGUGGAAAUUUUAGUACUUAUGUGAAAGAUUAAUUCGCUCUCACAUCUGAACUAGAAAUUUCUUUUACGUUUGUCUGUCCUGACUUGACUGCACUGAACUGAACUUGAAAAUCUGCUGCUAUUUGCUCUGUCAAAAUCUGCUGGCUAUUUGCUGCUAUUUGCAGGUGCUUCAGGGGGAUCAGGGCCAGGUGUUGCUGGGGGUGGAAGUGGAGUAGUUGGGCGGAGGAGAAGCAGCCGGAGGUGGAGUAGAUGCCGAGAUCGGGAGCAUCCGGGCGAGCAGUUGAACAUCGAGGCAGAGCCGGCUCUUGGAUGAGCAGCUGCUGGUCGCUGGGCGAAGGGGAAGUAGAUCCCACGUGAUCUGGCGGAGGAUAGGGAUGAUUGUGCAGUGUGUGCAAGAGUACAUCUUGUGACUGCUAACUUGAUGGACACGGGGUUCGUCAGACAUCGAUCUGUUGUACUCUUCAGGUUGACCGGCUGCAACGAAAAAAAAAAUCGCAGUAGCUGGAUGGGACAGAUACCGCGCAUAUGGACAAAAUAAGUGUUAUACUGUUUAUCUUCUCCAACGUUCUUGCGCACCAAAGGUUUUGCGCUGCUCAUGUAGCUCACAUGUCCGUCUAGGUUGUAAAAUGGUAGUAUAUGUUAUGUUCUGGGUGAAAUCAUGCAUGAAUCCAACCGAUUUUAUGCA
Molecule: RNA transcript, 1712 nt
Organism: Lolium perenne
Lineage: Eukaryota; Viridiplantae; Streptophyta; Magnoliopsida; Poales; Poaceae
Source: RefSeq, a predicted model, not a curated record